This 62-nucleotide transfer RNA is filed under the name Denticollis sp. UPOL RK0006. RNAcentral describes it as "tRNA-Glu". It matches the Rfam family "tRNA". From Rfam's summary of the family: Transfer RNA (tRNA) molecules are approximately 80 nucleotides in length. Lineage: Eukaryota; Metazoa; Arthropoda; Insecta; Coleoptera; Elateridae. The record is from RNAcentral.
AUUUAUAUAGUUUAAUAAAACAUUACAUUUUCAUUGUAAAAUUGAAUUACAUUCUAUAAAUG